AGGCAUUAAGUAAGCCUUACUAGUAAAAUGCAGGAUGUGAUCAUACAACUGGACCUUCAGAGCUUUCGUUUAGCUGAGGAAUCUGCAAUAGGAGUGUCUGUAUGACUUGUGUGAUGAGUUACAAAGUGUGCACGUAGAAAGUUAGUGCUUCUUCAGUAUGGAGCAGACACCAAUUGUAUAAGGUAACUUAGUAGAACAGAACUGCUUGACAUCUUUUUAAGAUUAAAAAAACCCAGCUAAUUCCCAAUAUGCCACCCAUCUGCCCCCGCCCCCAUGCACACUGCCCUACAUUUUGACCUGUGGGUUAAUAGGGCUCACAUUCUGGCAUUAUCGCACGUUAAGCUCAUAAAUGUUUUGCUAAGCUGUGGGCCAGAGCAAAUGUCUCAGGAUCUGUGAUCUGUGCUCACUGAUGUCAUCCGAGUGUAUUGGUGCUCUGCUCGUAAGGACUGUCCCACUCUUGAUCCACUCUAAUUGCCAUCACGUCAGCACAUGCAUCAAGCCUGGUAUGGUCUGACGGCAAAGGGGAAUUUAACACCAGAAGGCAGAGCUCCCAUAAUCCCUGCAAAUUCCCAACACCUAAACCCCCAUUUGCGUCGGUGACUUGGCUUUGUUGUCAUCCCAUGAAGAGCCGACAGACGAUAAAUACAGCUUCAAGGGCCACAGCAUUUCAGACUGCCAGGCGGCCCAGAGGGUGUGCAUGUCUACAUCUUUUCCAGCACCUUCCACUGUGAUUGUUGCUGGAGCUGUGUGCACGCCUUUCACGGCAGCUUCUCUGAAGUUUUUCAAUGAUUGAUUGUUAAAGUUGUGGUAAGACAGAGGUUGUUUGGUACUGAAACCUUUGCAAAGGUGUCGAUAUGGAGCAAAGUGAUUCAAGCCUAUAUUCAAAGGCCUGCCUUCUGAAAGACUGUAAACUGUUUUACCGCAGUGAAAAGGCAAUGGAUCCAGGACAAUGUCAUCUUUCCAAGAGCAAGUCCCGGCGGUUAACAGCACGAAGACGUUCAAAUAGUAUGAGCAUGUGCAUCUUGCCAAGUAUCCCGGAAUAUCCAGGCUUCCAGGAUAUCAAGCAGAGGAAUUACUCCAGAGCUUCCAAUUUUGUGCUGCAGGACCUGGGAAGAAAAAGAUCUGAAAACCUUCUAAGACUGGUGGAUCAAAACAGAAACCUGGGACACUCUACAGAUCAUUUUACUAACCGGCAGUGCAAAACGAAGAGUAGCUUUUGUGACAAAACUUUGCAAGAAUAUUACAAUGAGAAGCUCAUGGAGCUUAGAAACUAUGAAACCAACAAGGCAAACGGCAAGACAAAAGGCUAUGUUGACGAGAACCAGAGCCCAAAUUCUUUCAGCCAGGGAUUGAGGCGGAGAAGCAGCUGUAGUGCCUUGAUACAGGCCAGUCACCUGAAGCUGACUGAAGACACCAGUGAUGCUGCAGAUCAAGUCAACGAAGGCAUGACAAUGAGCAGUGACCACCAAGGCACUGACCAGAACUGUUGUGAGAGGACCUAUCUGGAAAGUUUGGCCAUGAGCAUCAAUACUCCUCUACAGAUGCUUGUGCAGCUGAAAUAAAAAUUGGCACUUGCAGAAGACACAAAGAACAGUUCCUAGAAACGGACAGACAGAUGAUUCAAAAGCGGUGUCUUACUCAUAAGGUCUGGAGAACUUUGAACACAUUUGUGUGAAUAGGACAUUUGCUAUGUUGCAUUUUACAUUAAAUACACGGACAGUGUGUGCUUGCAUAAUCUGCCACAAUGAGACAAUGUUAAUCCAUAUGCUGGAACAAUUUACAUAGAAUAUAUAGUUCAGGCUCUAUUCUGUGUCUUUUCCUAAUUCAGCUAUGUUUUUAAUCCUAAUAAUACACUGCAAAGAGUUUUAUCUAAUUUCAUCUAGGUCCAAAUUAUUGUGUUUCUUGGUUUACCUUGGGAAAGUAUAUGUAUUUUAGGGAGCUGCUUUUCCAUAGGUACUGCUUUCAUUAGAUAGCAAUAAGCUCUGAAAGUCCUAAUUGAAAACAUUGGAAAUGUGCCCCGUUUUUCAAAGGUCAAAACAAUAUUUGAAACAAUAUUCAGAUUUGCAGUCUGAAUGUUAAAUAUUUGUCACAGAAUUCAAAACAAACAUGUUUUAGCCUUGUUGACAUAUCUUGGCAGGAUUUAGCUUAAUUUGUUAAAUUGUAAGCGAUCACAUACUGUAUGUAUUAAUACCAAUCAGAGGCUGGCAGAAUAUCAUAUCACAUGUACCUGUUACUUACAAAUUAUGUAUUUCUCUUUACACACCCAAAAUGUCUUUAAAUAUAUAUUUACUUUCUUUUGCAUAAAUGAAAACAGUCAUUCAUUUCCCAGGGGCAAAUAAAUGCCAUCACAUUUUACA
This 2357-nucleotide long non-coding RNA is filed under the name Pogona vitticeps (central bearded dragon). Its description in RNAcentral is "lncRNA (ENSPVIG00000013989.1)". The record is from RNAcentral. Lineage: Eukaryota; Metazoa; Chordata; Lepidosauria; Squamata; Agamidae.